Molecule: ribosomal RNA, 1120 nt
Filed under: Cellulosimicrobium sp. B150
Lineage: Bacteria; Bacillati; Actinomycetota; Actinomycetes; Micrococcales; Promicromonosporaceae
Description: bacterial SSU rRNA
Rfam family: Bacterial small subunit ribosomal RNA
Source: RNAcentral
GACGAACGCUGGCGGCGUGCUUAACACAUGCAAGUCGAACGAUGAUGCCCAGCUUGCUGGGUGGAUUAGUGGCGAACGGGUGAGUAACACGUGAGUAACCUGCCCUUGACUUCGGGAUAACUCCGGGAAACCGGGGCUAAUACCGGAUAUGAGCCGUCCUCGCAUGGGCGGUGGUUGGAAAGUUUUUCGGUCAGGGAUGGGCUCGCGGCCUAUCAGCUUGUUGGUGGGGUGAUGGCCUACCAAGGCGACGACGGGUAGCCGGCCUGAGAGGGCGACCGGCCACACUGGGACUGAGACACGGCCCAGACUCCUACGGGAGGCAGCAGUGGGGAAUAUUGCACAAUGGGCGAAAGCCUGAUGCAGCGACGCCGCGUGAGGGAUGAAGGCCUUCGGGUUGUAAACCUCUUUCAGCAGGGAAGAAGCGCAAGUGACGGUACCUGCAGAAGAAGCGCCGGCUAACUACGUGCCAGCAGCCGCGGUAAUACGUAGGGCGCAAGCGUUGUCCGGAAUUAUUGGGCGUAAAGAGCUCGUAGGCGGUUUGUCGCGUCUGGUGUGAAAACUCGAGGCUCAACCUCGAGCUUGCAUCGGGUACGGGCAGACUAGAGUGCGGUAGGGGAGACUGGAAUUCCUGGUGUAGCGGUGGAAUGCGCAGAUAUCAGGAGGAACACCGAUGGCGAAGGCAGGUCUCUGGGCCGCAACUGACGCUGAGGAGCGAAAGCAUGGGGAGCGAACAGGAUUAGAUACCCUGGUAGUCCAUGCCGUAAACGUUGGGCACUAGGUGUGGGGCUCAUUCCACGAGUUCCGUGCCGCAGCAAACGCAUUAAGUGCCCCGCCUGGGGAGUACGGCCGCAAGGCUAAAACUCAAAGGAAUUGACGGGGGCCCGCACAAGCGGCGGAGCAUGCGGAUUAAUUCGAUGCAACGCGAAGAACCUUACCAAGGCUUGACAUGCACGGGAAGCCACCAGAGAUGGUGGUCUCUUUGGACACUCGUGCACAGGUGGUGCAUGGUUGUCGUCAGCUCGUGUCGUGAGAUGUUGGGUUAAGUCCCGCAACGAGCGCAACCCUCGUCCCAUGUUGCCAGCGGGUUAUGCCGGGGACUCAUGGGAGACUGCCGGGGUCA